RNAcentral lists this ribosomal RNA (426 nucleotides) under uncultured bacterium. RNAcentral describes it as "partial 16S ribosomal RNA". It matches the Rfam family "Bacterial small subunit ribosomal RNA", at positions 354 to 796 of the family's 1533-position model. The record is from RNAcentral.
GUGAGGAAUUUUCCGCAAUGGGCGAAAGCCUGACGGAGCAAUGCCACGUGAAGGAUGAAGGCCUAUGGGUUGUAAACUUCUUUUCUCAGAAAAGAAUUAUGACGGUAUCUGAGGAAUAAGCAUCGGCUAACUCUGUGCCAGCAGCCGCGGUAAGACAGAGGAUGCAAGCGUUAUCCGGAAUGAUUGGGCGUAAAGCGUCUGUAGGUUGUUUAAAAAGUAUUCUGUCAAAGAUUAGGGCUUAACCCUAGAUAGGCAGAAUAAACUUUUAAGCUAGAGUUUGGUAGAGGCAGAGGGAAUUCCCGGUGGAGCGAUGAAAUGCAUAGAUAUCGGGAGGAACACCAAAGGCGAAGGCACUCUGCUGGGCCAAUACUAACACUGAGAGACGAAAGCGAGGGGAGCAAAUGGGAUUAGAUACCCGUGUAGUCC